This 253-nucleotide ribosomal RNA is filed under the name uncultured bacterium. RNAcentral's name for it is "partial 16S ribosomal RNA". It matches the Rfam family "Bacterial small subunit ribosomal RNA", at positions 524 to 776 of the family's 1533-position model. The record is from RNAcentral.
GACGUAGGAGACGAGCGUUGUCCGGAUUUACUGGGCGUAAAGCGCGCGCAGGCGGCCCCGCAGGUCGGUUGUGAAAGCCCCCGGCUCAACCGGGCGGAGGCGAGCGAAACCGCGGGGCUGGAGGCUGGCAGAGGGUGGUGGAAUUCCCGGUGUAGUGGUGAAAUGCGUAGAGAUCGGGAGGAACACCCGCGGCGAAGGCGGCCAUCUGGACCAGCACUGACGCUGAGGCACGAAAGCGUGGGGAGCAAACAGG